This 464-nucleotide ribosomal RNA is filed under the name Vreelandella stevensii. RNAcentral describes it as "partial 16S ribosomal RNA". It matches the Rfam family "Bacterial small subunit ribosomal RNA", at positions 338 to 795 of the family's 1533-position model. The record is from RNAcentral. Lineage: Bacteria; Pseudomonadati; Pseudomonadota; Gammaproteobacteria; Oceanospirillales; Halomonadaceae.
CCUACGGGGGGCUGCAGUGGGGAAUAUUGGACAAUGGGCGAAAGCCUGAUCCAGCCAUGCCGCGUGUGUGAAGAAGGCCUUCGGGUUGUAAAGCACUUUCAGUGGGGAAGAAAGCCUUGGGGCUAAUACCCUCGAGGAAGGACAUCACCCACAGAAGAAGCACCGGCUAACUCCGUGCCAGCAGCCGCGGUAAUACGGAGGGUGCGAGCGUUAAUCGGAAUUACUGGGCGUAAAGCGCGCGUAGGCGGUCUGAUAAGCCGGUUGUGAAAGCCCCGGGCUCAACCUGGGAACGGCAUCCGGAACUGUCAGGCUAGAGUGCAGGAGAGGAAGGUAGAAUUCCCGGUGUAGCGGUGAAAUGCGUAGAGAUCGGGAGGAAUACCAGUGGCGAAGGCGGCCUUCUGGACUGACACUGACGCUGAGGUGCGAAAGCGUGGGUAGCAAACAGGAUUAGAAACCCUGUAGUC